Molecule: ribosomal RNA, 242 nt
Filed under: Triticum aestivum (bread wheat)
Lineage: Eukaryota; Viridiplantae; Streptophyta; Magnoliopsida; Poales; Poaceae
Description: partial small subunit ribosomal RNA
Source: RNAcentral
UGCCACAGUAUACUUUUCAAGAUGUUGCCAGAUUUUGGUUAACCGUUUCAGUUACUACUUCAGUACCUACGGAUACAACGUCAAAAGUUGGUACUCUUAAACUUAGGACUAGGUUUUAGUUUCUUCGGAAGUUUUAAAAGUAAGGGUUGUGUGAAAUGUUGAUUUAACGAACACCUCGGACGUUUUAAGUCGUGGUCCAGAACGGAAGCUCUCAAGUUCUCUUAGUUGUGUCCUUUGUUGGA